Molecule: ribosomal RNA, 407 nt
Filed under: uncultured bacterium
Lineage: Bacteria
Description: partial 16S ribosomal RNA
Rfam family: Bacterial small subunit ribosomal RNA
Source: RNAcentral
GACGAACGCUGGCGGCGUGCCUAAUACAUGCAAGUAGGACGCAGUUGCGAACGGUUGAGUAACGCGUAGGUAACUGCCUAUUAGAGGGGGAUAACUAUUGGAAACGCUAGCUAAUACCGCAUACUAGUAGAUGGACCUGCGUUGUAUUAGCUAGUAGGUAGGGUAAUGGCCUACCUAGGCAACGAUACAUAUCCGACCUGGGAGGGUGAUCGGCCACACUGGGACUUGGACACGGGCCAGACUCCGACGGGAGGCAGCAGUAGGGAAACUUCGGCAAUGGGGGGAACGCUGACCAAGCAAAGCCGCGGGAGUGAAGAAGGUUUUCGGGACGUAAAGCUCUGUUGAUAAGGAAGCGGUACUUAACCAGAAAGGGACGGCUAACUACGUGCCAGCAGCCGCGGUAAUUC